GUCAUUGUGGUGUACUGGUUUGUGUGUUGGAUUGUGACUCCGGAGAUCAGUGUUCGAACCCCUGCUCAGGCA
Molecule: non-coding RNA, 72 nt
Organism: Phrynosoma platyrhinos (Desert horned lizard)
Lineage: Eukaryota; Metazoa; Chordata; Lepidosauria; Squamata; Phrynosomatidae
Source: the annotation of a GenBank genome assembly